ACCUAUAAGAUUUCAUGCACCAAUUUCCUUUCUUCCACAUUGGUCAAAUAUCUUACUUUAUUAUCCAUAUUCAUUCUUUAAUCUAUCUUCAUGCAUUCUUAAUCCAUUUCCAUUUCAUCCACCUUACUUAUAUCCAAUAGCCUUUCAUGCAUUCUCCUACAUUAUUUCUCAUUUGGUCUCCCAUUUAGCCAAUAACAUUACAUGCAUAUAUAUUUCCUUUCUUUUAGUCCAACAUUGCCCCCAAGUGUCCUCCAUGCAAAAAUUCUCUAUGCUUUCUUUAACUAGUAAAAUCACAUGCAUAUUUCACCUUGUGCAUUUAUCUCCUU
RNAcentral lists this long non-coding RNA (326 nucleotides) under Theobroma cacao (cacao). RNAcentral's name for it is "long non-coding RNA (TCAC_LNC005906)". The record is from RNAcentral. Lineage: Eukaryota; Viridiplantae; Streptophyta; Magnoliopsida; Malvales; Malvaceae.